Molecule: ribosomal RNA, 446 nt
Filed under: uncultured bacterium
Lineage: Bacteria
Description: partial 16S ribosomal RNA
Rfam family: Bacterial small subunit ribosomal RNA
Source: RNAcentral
GAUGAACGCUGGCGGCAUGCUUAAUACAUGCAAGUCGGACGGGCAACACGGGAACCGGUGUUUCUGGUGUCGGCCGGGUACGUAACGCGUAAGAACGUGUCCUUGGGAGGGGAACAACAGAUGGAAACGGCUGAUAAUACCCCGUAGGCUGUGGUGUAAUAGGAGGAAUCCAUCCGAGGAGGGGCACGCGACUGAUUACCCAGUUGGUGAGGCAAUAGCUUACCAAGCCGAUGAGCAGUAGCAGGUCCGAGAGGAUGAUCAGCCACACUGCGACGGAGACACGGACUAGGGUCCUAUGGGAGACAGGAGUGGGGAAUAUGCCGCAAUGGGCGAAAGCCGGACGGGGCAAUGCCGCGGGGAAGUAGAAUUCCCACGGGUCGUGAACUUCGUUUCCCAGAGAAGAAGCAAUGACGGUAUCUGGUGAAUAAGCAUCGGCUAACUCGGUG